RNA transcript from Mangifera indica (mango), 7938 nucleotides. It is a transcript of the gene named ENHANCER OF AG-4 protein 2-like, with no coding region annotated. Lineage: Eukaryota; Viridiplantae; Streptophyta; Magnoliopsida; Sapindales; Anacardiaceae. The transcript has 13 exons. The record is from RefSeq and is a predicted model, not a curated record.
AGCCAGGAAAAGGAUGAAACACAAGCGGCAGGCGACUUAGCUCAGCUCAUUCUCUCACGUCACGCGUACUAAAUAUCCCUCAAUUUACCAAACCUCCCCCCCCUACUCCCCUCAUUAUUCACAACACGAUCACAACACAAUAGCCUCACCUUCCUUCACUAAGCAUAUUCUCUCUCUCUCGCUCUCGUCAACCUCCUCAAUCUCUCGCUCCACUCCAGCCGUCUCUCCCCAUUAUCAAUCGCUUCUUUUUUGGCGAUGCCGUAGCUCUUUCCGUUGCCGGAAAUCCUCGCCGCCGGCGGAAUCUCCGGCUUAAUUACUUGGAUUUUAGGUUUUUCGAUUUGGAUUCUAUCGCUAUUCGUAUCGAUUGCGUUUUCGGAGGUAUUGUUUCUAUUAUUGUUUUAAUUACUAUCUAGGUUGCUUAGGAUAGAUUUGUAGAUAAAAUCGACAUGGCUGGGGGUCGUAAAAGGGGAGGCAACAAGGCCAAAGCCAAGAGUCAGUUGAGUGUGGGGGAUCUUGUUCUCGCCAAAGUCAAGGGCUUUCCAGCCUGGCCUGCCAAGAUCAGUCGACCUGAAGACUGGGAUCGAGCUCCAGACCCCAAGAAACAUUUUGUUCAAUUCUUUGGAACACAGGAAAUAGCUUUUGUUGCCCCCACUGACAUCCAGACAUUCACCAGUGAGUCAAAGAGUAAAUUGUUAGCUCGAUGUCAAGGUAAAACAGUUAAGUACUUUGCCCAAGCAGUGAAGGAAAUUUGUGGUGCAUUUGAAGAGUUAGAGAAGGAAAAAUCAAGUGAAUUGAGAUCUGAUGCUGAUAGAUCGGCACCUGGUUCUGAGGCUGUUUCUGUGGAUGAGGCAGAUGUUGACUUGAAGGAUGGGGUUGGUGCUGUCGAACCGAAUGGAGACCCAAAAAAGGAAGAAAUAGAUGGUUAUAGAUCUAAGUCGGAGCCCUGCUCAAAUAGUCAAGGAGACACCGGCAGUGAGGAUAUAAAGCCUUCUAUUUCAUCUAAUCCUGCAGAUGGUAUUUCAUCUCCGGUUAUGUCAUCUGAGACAAAGAUGAAAAUAUCUAAUGGGCCGCAAUCAAAAGAGGAAUUAUGCACAUCUGCUUCAUAUAAUGUUUCUAAUGUAACGGAGGAAGUUUCUGGUGAUAAAAAAGAACAUAUUGACCGAGUUAAGCACCCUGUUAAGGGACAGAAGGUAUCUGGAAAUGGUUACAAGACAAAGAAAAUAGCUUCUGGGUCGAAGAGGAAAUGUGAGGUUGUGGUUGAAGGACAAAGAGGUAGCUCUGCUGUAACAUCACUGAAGGAUCAUUGUUCUGGUAUUAGUGUUGAUCUCCCUGAUUCUGGUGAGCAAUUUAAAGACACAAUAAAAGGGAAAAUUGCAUCUGAUAGCAGCAUGAUUGAAUCUUCAUCUGUUGCUUUGAAGUCAGAUAUGGAUGUUGGUGGUGGAAAAAUAACUAAAGAUGUGCUUAAAUCGAAAAGAAGCUUGAAAGUAUCAGAUGAUGACACUGUUGCUAAUUCCAGGGAUGAGGUUUGUGGAAAUAAAAAAAGUGCUCAACCUGGGAUAGCUGGGAAGGUUAAGUUGGGAAUAAAUGACAUUUUGCAUCCUUCCAAAAUGUCUAAGGCUGAUGAUGCCAUCAAGGCAUCUCUUUCUAAAAGUGUGAAAAGUGGUUUUUCAACUUCUAACAUUGAUGACAGCAAAGCAUUUAAACGUUCUGAGUUGAAACUGCCCUCAUCCCAUGUGAAGACUGAAACGGUUUUGGCGUUGAAAGCUCAAACAUGUAAAAGUAAAGUUGAAUCUGAUGUUUCUGGUGAUGAAGCUGUGCUGCCCUUAACAAAGCGACGUAGGCGGGCUUUAGAGGCAAUGUCUGAUUCUCCUACUCUUAGUUCUGAUGAUAAAACGGGGAAAAACUCUCAUGAAAUGAAGAAUGAUGUGUCAUGUUCCAAUAAUGUUAAACCUCUGGUGCCGCAGUUGUCCAAAAGACGGAGAGCUGUUUGCCUAUUUGAUGAGGAUGAUGAUGAAGAACCCAAAACUCCAGUUCAUGGUGGAUCUUCCAGAAAUGUGAAAGCUUCUUCAUCUGUUUCUGAUAAUUCUAGAACUGCUGCACAUCAUGAGAGUUAUGUUAAUGGUCAGCAGAAUGCUGGUCCGAAAGAUUCUGUUAGAAUUGAGAAUAUGCCAAAGGAAUCCUCAUUGCAAAUACAUAAUGAGUCUGUGUCACCUUCCCAACCAGAAAAUUCAGAAAGGAGGCCUAAUUCUCAUGUAGCUUGCGGUCCUGAGAAAGUAGAAGCUGAGCAAUUACUAUUAAAGGGGGCUAAAGCAAAAUUGGUUUCCCCUAAAAGGUCUCCUCAUUUGGUUUCCACUACCAGGACAACUGCAGAACAACAUAGAGCCUCAAAACCUGUGGUUACUAAAGGCUCUGGUACUUCUACUGGUACUCAGAAAAAAGUUCAGGCAAUGUCUGGUAAGGGUUCAGUUCUUGCUUCUGAUAGCACAAGCUCUCUUCAAAAUCAGGUUGCCAGUCAAAGAAAUAGGACAGCCUCUUCUGCUGAACGACCAAAAACCACUCCAAAAGCAGCUUCACGUAUGAAUGACCGUGCUGUUUCGACAGAAACUGUAAUAGAUCACAGUUCUUUGCCCAUCGAAAUAAUGGAGUCUGGGAGAGAAGAUAGGGGCAGUUCAUUCUUUGAUUCAAAGACUCCAGACUCUGUUAUGUCCAUGAAACAUCUUAUUGCAGCUGCUCAGGCAAAAAGGAAACAAGCUCACUCGCGACAAUUUUCUCUUGGAAAUGCUAAUGCUGCUUUUACUUCAUUUGCUGAGGUCCAGGGAAGGAGUCCUAGCCCCUCUUCUGCUCAGCCUUCUUUGACUGCAACCAACAAUGUGCUACAGGCAGAUACACAGGGAUUUAGUAAUCGCACUAGUUUAGCCUCUCCAUCAACUCAUGGUCAUCAAUCAGGGACCCGUAGUCAACUAGAUACUGAAGAAAUUGAGGAGAGAAGAGUUAGUUCAGGACACAGAGGUGGUGGAGGCUCAUUGAGUGGUGGUACUGAGGCAGCUGUUGCUCGUGAUGCGUUUGAAGGAAUGAUAGAAACUUUGUCAAGGACCAAAGAAAGUAUUGGACGUGCAACUCGGCUUGCCAUUGAUUGUGCCAAGUAUGGUAUUGCUAAUGAGGUUGUGGAACUUCUAAUCCGCAAAUUAGAAAGUGAGCUUAGUUAUCAUCGUAAAGUGGACCUGUUCUUUCUUGUGGAUUCAAUCACUCAGUGUUCUCAUAAUCAAAAAGGCAUUGCUGGAGCUUCAUAUAUUCCUGCUGUUCAAUCUGCAUUGCCGCGUCUUUUAGGUGGUGCUGCUCCGCCUGGAAAUGGGGCUCGUGAAAAUCGUCGUCAAUGUCUCAAGGUUUUACGCUUGUGGCUUGAGAGAAAAAUUUUGCCUGAAUCUCUUUUGCGGAAAUGCAUGGAUGACAUUGGAGUUUCAAAUGAUGAGUCAACUUCUGGGUUUUCCCUUAGACGGCCAUCUCGAGCUGAGCGAGCUAUAGAUGAUCCGAUCAGAGAAAUGGAAGGCAUGCUUGUCGAUGAGUAUGGCAGUAAUGCUACAUUCCAGUUGCCUGGCUUUAUAUCUUCCCAUGUGUUUGAGGACGAUGAAGAAGAUGAUCUUCCCAGCAGUACAUAUAAAGAAGUUGGUGAUACAUCUCCAGUAGAGCAAACACGUGCUUCAGGAGAGUCAGAAACAUGCACUGUUACUCCCAAUGAUAGGCGUCAUUGUAUCUUGGAGGAUGUAGAUGGGGAGCUUGAAAUGGAAGAUGUUUCUGGUCAUCCAAAGGAUGAAAAUGAUUCUUUUGAAAUAGAAUCACAACACCAUGGCUCAGAUAGAAUCUUGGAAUCAGUUUCAAAUAAUUUCAGUGAGCAACCCCUUUUACCCGAGGGUUCCCCUCCAUUGCCUCCAGAUUCUCCUCCUCCACUCCCGCCCUUGCCACCUUCACCACCACCACCACCACCUCCACAGUCUUCUCCUUCACCUCCACCACCACCGCCACCACCUCCUCUUCCAUCACAGCCACCACCCGCUCCACCUCCUUUGGGCCCACCACCUAUGUUACCACAAUCAUCAGUGGUACAAUCACAACCUUCAUUAGUGUCUCAGUCAUUACUCCCACAUCAAUCAUCGGUUCAGUCUUCACCUCAGUUGGCAUAUCAACCACCUAUACCUCGCGAAUAUUGCAACACACCCAGUGGUAAUCAAAUUGUCCAAAUGGCUGGAAAUAGUGCUCAUGGUGGUCAUAUUGAUGCUACUGUGAAAAAUGAAUUGUUUACACAGCAAUCACCUUGCUUUGUACCAACGGGAAUGUGCAGUUCUCGAGAAUCUUCUGGAUAUAAUUCUUCGAGGCAAUUGGAAUAUGGUCAUAAUGAUAUAUAUUUAAAUCCCCAAGUUUCUCAGCCGAACCAGCAAUUUCAACAAGGUAAUACACCGUAUGUGCAAAGACCUCUACAUCCUGCCCUGCCUCAAACCCCUUCCAACCAUUUCUCAUUUACAAAGCCAGGGAUUCAGCAACAUCCUCAUCAGAAUUACCCCCAUCCAUAUCCAAUGCCAUCACACCCUGAUAACCAAAGGCGAUAUGUUGGAGAUGAGCAAUGGAGGAUGUCAUCAGGUGAAUUUAAUCCAGAAAGUCAGCAUGGUGUCUGGAUGGGUGGGAGGAGAACUCCACCUCAGCCAGGACCUACAUUUGUCCAAGAAGGUUACUAUCGGCCGCCUGUUGAAAGACCACCCACAAAUAAUAUGGGUUUUCAGCUAUCUGUUGCUAACAACUUACCAGCUGCACCUCCAAUUCCAGGUCACAGUGUUUCCCAGAUGUUGCCAUGUAGACCAGACAUGUCAGCACUUAAUUGUUGGAGACCAGCUUAAGGAUGAACCUAAAGCUUUCUUAAGUGCGUAAGUGUGCGGAUUGUGAGAAAAGUUACAAACUUACUUUAUAUUCUUCUCAAAAGGGGGGGAUUCAUCUUGUAGACAAAUCCAUUUACAGCUUGAAGGCAGUGUUAGAACUUAUGGAGACUCUUGGCAGGACUGUGUAUAUGUAAUUUUUCCUGACAAAUGUAUCCAGGGAACUAUGCUUCCAAGUGUAGGCUCAUGUUUCUGACUUGGAAUUUUGUUGGUGGCAAACCUUUCUACUGGGAAAUAUGCUGGUAAAAAUUGUGAAAGAAGUUUGAUCUACACGUGAUGGUUUGAGUAUAAGUCUGCCUUGCAUAUUCUGGGUUGAAGAAUUGGACCAUCAGGACUAGGUCAUUUGGCAAAGGUUUUUGACCUGGAUAAGUGGCAUUUUAAAUCUCAUAGAUUUACAUGUUCUAAUACUGUAUAGCUAGUAAUAUUGUUCUAUUUCUUUCUUGUAACACUCAUAAAACCCAUUUGUUGGGAUGUGUUUAAAUUACGACUUCAUCAACAGCUUAUGGUGCUUUAUGUUUCUUUGUUGUAAAUGGAAAAUUGAGAUUGACAAGGAAAACUGUUGCAUCACAAUUCUCAAUCAAAGUUAAUUUGCUUGAUGGCUAUAUAUGUGUGUUAUCACAUUUUUACAACCUCACAAUGUUUUGUUCUUUGUCAAGGCUAUUGUAGUGAAGUAAUCUUAUGUUAAUAAUAGGGAAUUAGCGGGACAUUGUUGAUAAGCACAUUGAUGCCAUUAUGGAAGAGUUUGGUUUGAAGUUGCAUACCAUUACAUAGUUUGUAAGUUCUUUGUGGAAUAACUAGCUUGUGAAAUUGCCAACAAUAAUAUAAAAAAUUUGUAAAGUUGGUGUUCAUCAAAUUGGAAUUAUGGCAUUAUGAUCCACACACACACACACACACACACCCAUAUUUGUAUAACUUUGGCAUUAAGUGGGGGUGGGUUAGGUUAAUGUUCAAUUUUACCAAGAACAUAAUUUUUCUUGGUGCCAAACACUAUUUUGGGGUUGGUGAAAUUGCUAUCUUGAUUCCUAUGAAGGUAGGGAAUGGGAAAUAGAAUUGACAUUAGAUAUUCAUUGGGUUGCAUUGUCCACGGUGACUUGCUGUUGGAAUCAAGGGUGGGUUUGAACCAAGCUGAGUUGAGCCCAAACCCAAACAAGGGUUUGGUUGAGCUUGGCUCAAAUUUGGAAUGACAAACUUAAGUUCGAGCCGGCUUGAAUGGUGAACUAUGAUGCUGGAGAAAAUGAAAAAUCAUCGGAGAAAAAGCCAAAGAGGAAGAAUCAUUGGAAAAGAAGAAUCUCCAGUGAAGAUCUGUUGGCUAGCCUUUGAACUUGAAUGGAGUUGCCAAGCUGGAGCUUUAGCUUGAGUUUGACUAGUUGUCAUUGAGGGGAUUUACAGUCAAGCAAUUGGCUAUAGAUUGUUUUGGUAUUAUUUAUUGUCAUUUGUAGAAGAGUUAAGACAUUUUUAGUUUCCACUAUUCUUAUAAGGGAAUCUAUACUGGAUGGCAAUAUUGUUGAGACCCAGAAUUGUUAUUUGUAGAGAAACCGCUCAUUGUUUUAGAUUUAAAUAGAAUAGGUUACCAUUGAACUCGAAUGUUUCCCUUGAGACUCUUCAUAAAUACUCAAGAUCAUGUCCAAGAACUUCUUUAUCCACUAGAUUCUGAAUACCCAGGCCAGCACUUUGCUGUUAAAUGUGCACAGCCUCUAAAGUGAGAAAUUACUUUAGGAGUUACCUUUUUAGUCAUCAAGUAAAUUCUUGAAGCUCUGCAAUUAACUUUAGUGCUUAUCAAGGUUCUUCGUAAUUAAUAUCAAACUUGGUUGACACGCUUCGCAGAGUUUUACUGAGAUGUGUUAUUCCAACAGCAAGUGUGAUCUUGCCAAGCAUUGGAGUAUGGACAAGUCUUCUGUCCAAAAAUUAGUGAGUGCUUUCAAGACUCACUGAAUCUGAUCCUUUGUUUGUCAGUCAAAAACUUGUUUCUCUUGUGUUGGGAAUUGCAGCAGAUUAUCUUACUGAGAGAUGGUGUCUGUCUGUGUGGUCAUUGACUUGAAGGAACCAAGCUUUAAGUUAUUUAGCGUGGGUUUGUGUAGUGUUUUUUUUUUUUUAAAUUUUAUUAUAAUUGAUGUCAAUCGUGAAGUAAAAAAGCUUGACUUGUAAAGCUUACUUCCUUUUUAGAUUGCACUAAGCGUUUCUUGUUGGGAUCUUUGGAUAAAUUAAGAUGUGAAGAAAGGAUUCAUAGUUUAUAGUUCACCUGCCGUUGAUAGAAUUGUCCUCCUCAAUGUCUUUCACACUCAUUUCUUAUUGGAGGAAAGAAAUUUUGUGCUUCACCUUUUAGUUACAUUGGAAAACUAGCAUAUUAUUGUUCUGUCAUUUGUUUUCUCACAUAUGUGUUUUUCCUUUUUGUUUCUUUCCUGUUCCUAAACCAUUAGACUCCAGUGGCUGUCAAGCAAGGCAUGAUCAAAACUUCCUCACCUUCAUCAUUGUCCCCUUUAUACUUUUUUUGUUUUUUUAGGGAUCACAGCUUCUGAAAUGGUUUUAAUUUCCAUUUCCUGGUGCUCAGCGUAAACUAAAGUUUUAUUUAUUUUAGCAGAAACUUGAAGCAUUAAUUUGUUGUGAAUAAUAUACGAUGUUAAUUCUGCAGAGUGAGUUCAUGCGAAUGCCAUCCACUGAAUUCAGUUAUGAUGAGAAGGGUUCAUCUAUAUGAAUUAAGUUCUAGGGCAUCCUUUGGUUUGCUGCCUUAUUGAUAGAAGUCCAAAUAUCAAUAACACUGGACUGUAGAGAAGAAGACUGUUUUUAUCCUAGAGAAUCAUUUUUCUUUUUCUGACAAAGAAUAAGGAAGAAGAUUUUUAGGUAUUAGUUGCAAUUUAGUAGUAUGCAGAAAAAAAAAAAAUGCUGGCAAUCAGAAUCCGAAGAUGUUUUGGUACAAGAAAAAAGAUAAGUAAUAGUUAGAUAGUUAAGUAGGGUGGAGAAAGCAAAAGAAAAAGAUACUAUUUUUCCUGGAUAUGAGUGAAGCUGGAGCAUAAAGAAA